This 751-nucleotide ribosomal RNA is filed under the name Nocardioides sp. RNAcentral's name for it is "bacterial SSU rRNA". It matches the Rfam family "Bacterial small subunit ribosomal RNA", at positions 92 to 855 of the family's 1533-position model. The record is from RNAcentral. Lineage: Bacteria; Bacillati; Actinomycetota; Actinomycetes; Propionibacteriales; Nocardioidaceae.
CGAGCGGCGAACGGGUGAGUAACACGUGAGUAAUCUGCCCCAGGCUCUGGGAUAGCCACCGGAAACGGUGAUUAAUACCGGAUACGACAACCGAUUGCAUGAUCUGGUUGUGGAAAGUUUUUCGGCCUGGGAUGUGCUCGCGGCCUAUCAGCUUGUUGGUGAGGUAAUGGCUCACCAAGGCUUCGACGGGUAGCCGGCCUGAGAGGGUGACCGGCCACACUGGGACUGAGACACGGCCCAGACUCCUACGGGAGGCAGCAGUGGGGAAUAUUGGACAAUGGGCGGAAGCCUGAUCCAGCAACGCCGCGUGAGGGAUGACGGCCUUCGGGUUGUAAACCUCUUUCAGCACAGACGAAGCGCAAGUGACGGUAUGUGCAGAAGAAGGACCGGCCAACUACGUGCCAGCAGCCGCGGUAAUACGUAGGGUCCGAGCGUUGUCCGGAAUUAUUGGGCGUAAAGGGCUCGUAGGCGGUCUGUCGCGUCGGGAGUGAAAACCAGGUGCUUAACACCUGGCCUGCUUUCGAUACGGGCAGACUAGAGGUACUCAGGGGAGAAUGGAAUUCCUGGUGUAGCGGUGAAAUGCGCAGAUAUCAGGAGGAACACCGGUGGCGAAGGCGGUUCUCUGGGAGUAUCCUGACGCUGAGGAGCGAAAGUGUGGGGAGCGAACAGGAUUAGAUACCCUGGUAGUCCACACCGUAAACGUUGGGCGCUAGGUGUGGGACACAUUCCACGUGUUCCGUGCCGCAGCUAA